GAUGAACGCUGGCGGCGUGCCUAAUACAUGCAAGUCGAGCGAACGGACGAGAAGCUUGCUUCUCUGAUGUUAGCGGCGGACGGGUGAGUAACACGUGGAUAACCUACCUAUAAGACUGGGAUAACUUCGGGAAACCGGAGCUAAUACCGGAUAAUAUUUUGAACCGCAUGGUUCAAAAGUGAAAGACGGUCUUGCUGUCACUUAUAGAUGGAUCCGCGCUGCAUUAGCUAGUUGGUAAGGUAACGGCUUACCAAGGCAACGAUGCAUAGCCGACCUGAGAGGGUGAUCGGCCACACUGGAACUGAGACACGGUCCAGACUCCUACAGGAGGCAGCAGUAGGGAAUCUUCCGCAAUGGGCGAAAGCCUGACGGAGCAACGCCGCGUGAGUGAUGAAGGUCUUCGGAUCGUAAAACUCUGUUAUUAGGGAAGAACAUAUGUGUAAGUAACUGUGCACACCUUGACGGUACCUAAUCAGAAAGCCACGGCUAACUACGUGCCAGCAGCCGCGGUAAUACGUAGGUGGCAAGCGUUAUCCGGAAUUAUUGGGCGUAAAGCGCGCGUAGGCGGUUUUUUAAGUCUGAUGUGAAAGCCCACGGCUCAACCGUGGAGGGUCAUUGGAAACUGGAAAACUUGAGUGCAGAAGAGGAAAGUGGAAUUCCAUGUGUAGCGGUGAAAUGCGCAGAGAUAUGGAGGAACACCAGUGGCGAAGGCGACUUUCUGGUCUGUAACUGACGCUGAUGUGCGAAAGCGUGGGGAUCAAACAGG
RNAcentral lists this ribosomal RNA (766 nucleotides) under Staphylococcus aureus. Its description in RNAcentral is "bacterial SSU rRNA". It matches the Rfam family "Bacterial small subunit ribosomal RNA", at positions 28 to 776 of the family's 1533-position model. Lineage: Bacteria; Bacillati; Bacillota; Bacilli; Caryophanales; Staphylococcaceae. The record is from RNAcentral.